CGGUUUGGGUGGCGGACGGGUGAGUAACGCGUAAAGAACUUGCCUCACAGUUAGGGACAACAUUUGGAAACGAAUGCUAAUACCUGAUAUUAUGAUUUUAGGGCAUCCUAAGAUUAUGAAAGCUAUAUGUGCUGUGAGAGAGCUUUGCGUCCCAUUAGCUAGUUGGAGAGGUAACGGCUCACCAAGGCGAUGAUGGGUAGCCGGCCUGAGAGGGUGAACGGCCACAAGGGGACUGAGACACGGCCCUUACUCCUACGGGAGGCAGCAGUGGGGAAUAUUGGACAAUGGACCAAAAGUCUGAUCCAGCAAUUCUGUGUGCACGAUGACGUUUUUCGGAAUGUAAAGUGCUUUCAGUUGGGAAGAAAAAAAUGACGGUACCAACAGAAGAAGUGACGGCUAAAUACGUGCCAGCAGCCGCGGUAAUACGUAUGUCACAAGCGUUAUCCGGAUUUAUUGGGCGUAAAGCGCGUCUAGGUGGUUAUGUAAGUCUGAUGUGAAAAUGCAGAGCUCAACUCUGUAUUGCGUUGGAAACUGCAUGACUAGAGUACUGGAGAGGUAAGCGGAACUACAAGUGUAGAGGUGAAAUUCGUAGAUAUUUGUAGGAAUGCCGAUGGGGAAGCCAGCUUACUGGACAGAUACUGACGCUAAAGCGCGAAAGCGUGGGUAGCAAACAGGAUUAGAUACCUGGUAGUCCACGCCGUAAACGAUGAUUACUAGGUGUUGGGGGUCGAACCUCAGCGCCCAA
Molecule: ribosomal RNA, 745 nt
Filed under: uncultured Fusobacterium sp.
Lineage: Bacteria; Fusobacteriati; Fusobacteriota; Fusobacteriia; Fusobacteriales; Fusobacteriaceae
Description: bacterial SSU rRNA
Rfam family: Bacterial small subunit ribosomal RNA
Source: RNAcentral